RNAcentral lists this non-coding RNA (163 nucleotides) under uncultured Garciella sp. The record is from RNAcentral. Lineage: Bacteria; Bacillati; Bacillota; Clostridia; Eubacteriales; Eubacteriaceae.
AUAGGUGCCCAAGAUAUGGGAGAAUAGGGAAUUUAGGUGAAAAUCCUGAGCGGUCCCGCCACUGUAAUUGGAGAGCAUCCUCAAAAAUCCACCUCUGUUUUUAAACAGCUGGGAAGGAAGAGGAAUUGUAAACAGCCAAAAGCCAGGAGACCUGCCUAUUUGC